RNAcentral lists this unclassified non-coding RNA (3868 nucleotides) under Acromyrmex echinatior (Panamanian leafcutter ant). RNAcentral describes it as "probable GPI-anchored adhesin-like protein PGA55, transcript variant X5". Lineage: Eukaryota; Metazoa; Arthropoda; Insecta; Hymenoptera; Formicidae. The record is from RNAcentral.
UUCCCUCCAAAUUAAUGGAAGCAAAUUGAUACUAGUCCACGUCAUAGACGUAUAAAUAUUUAAAAAGAUCGUACGCCUCACGUGAAUGAGACGAAAAUCUGAGGAAAGGAUAACUUUCCUCGUUGUUAAGUCAUGAAUCUGAUAAGAAUAGAGAGAGACAUCAAAUUACCGUAAUGGUUAGUAGUAGUAAUUCGCAGAAUUAAAGCGCCUCGAUUACUGUCGAUCGCUGUUCCUGUCAGCGGCAUUGUUGGAAACGUCUUACUGGAACGGUUAUCAACACUAUUAACGCUGUUCAGAUUCAAGGCGCUUUUGUUUGUGGCUCUCGUUUGUCCUCUCCACGUGAAUAGUUCAAUGAUUUUGAAAAUUUUAAGCACUUCUGGAGAAAACGUCACGUCCUGACUUGCGACUUUUGUGAUUCUUUUACAGUAAUUGUUGUAUGUACGCCAUAUAUAUGAUGCGAGGUGAAUACUGUGAAGUUUCCAUCUCCAUUAGAUCUGCUAGAUAAUCAUACCAAACCGUUUCGCGGCAUAUUUGUGUCACGUCCGUGUCGUAACACAGUUAGCAGAUUCUGUUGUGACAGUGAGAUGCUCGAGUUUAUCAUUGUGUUGCCACCCCGGCCGAGCAUUGUUCGGCUGUGACUGUUCGCGAGCUCCUGCUUCUGUUAUUCAAAUACAAUGUCCUCGAAGAACAGAUCAUCCUCUUCUAAGGUUCAUCCUCCGGUCUGUUCCUUCUGCAAUUUGGCCGAGGACAAUGAGCUGGAAUAUGGAAAGAUCUAUGAGCACAAUGGGAUUGCCACUCACUAUUAUUGUUUGCUCUUGUCUUCGAACAUGGAACAGAAAGGAAAUGAUGACGAAGGCAUACUUGGAUUCCUUGCUGAAGAUAUACAAAAGGAACUUCGUAGGGGAAAGAGAUUGGUAUGCUCGUACUGCAAAAAGCAAGGUGCUACUUUAGGUUGUUGUAACGUAAGAUGCAAACGGAUCUUUCAUUUUCCUUGUGGCAUGAAAGCUGGUUCUCUGCAUCAGUUUUUCGGUGAAUUUAGAUCAUAUUGCAUAAACCACAGGCCGAAACAAAAGAUUGAUGAACAGGUUCUAAAGCAGGCUGCCGCAGUAGAUGUAAUGUGUUAUAUUUGUUAUGAUAAAGUUAAUACUAAUGACUUUGUGAAAACAUUAUGGGCACCCUGUUGUAAAAAAGAUGCAUGGUUUCAUCGCAUUUGUGUUCAGGUUAAUCUUAAUAUGGCUUCAUACUAUUUUUUUAAUAUGAAUACAGAUUUAUAUAUCCAAGACUCUCUCAUUUUUCAGCAACUUGCAUUGAGUGCAGGGUAUUUUUUCAAGUGUCCCUUAUGUAACAAUAAAAAAGAUUUUCAAAAAUCUAUGUUAGAAUACGGCAUUUUCGUGCCAAGUCAAGAUGCUUCGUGGGAAUUGGAACCAAAUGCAUUUGAAGAGCUUCUGUAUAGGCAUGAUCAGUGCGAUGCACCGAAAUGUCUUUGUCCAAAGGGAAGGAAGUAUACAAGUACUAACGCUAAAUGGGAAUUGGCCCUAUGUCGUACUUGCGGUUCACAAGGUAUCCAUAUGUCUUGCGGACAGUUGAAAUGGGCUAAUCCGGUGUGGGAAUGCGAAGAAUGUACAUCUAUAUUAAGUAAUGAUCGUGUAAAACUAGGCAACAGUUCUGCAAUAGGCAGUACUAGUCAAAAUAAGGAUUCUGAUUCAGAUUUAAAUUCAGACUCAGAUUCAGAUUCAGAUUCAGAUUUGGAUAGUGAUACAGAUAUCUCUGUAGGAACUGACUUCCCUAUGCCAUGCGCCUUGACUGAUUCAUCUUCCACUUCUUCCUUGGAGUCUAUUCUGGAUAAUAUUAAUUUGCGACCUGGACCACGUUCUUUUAAGUUACAACAGCAAAUGAUCAAACUAGGCCAAUGGUUGGACUUAACAAGUACUGUGCUUGAAAAGAAUAUAGCUGCUAUUGAAACUAGUACGAAAGAUGAAUCAUUAUCAAAAAAUGAAUUCUUAUCAAAAAAUGAUGACGAGAAGAAGGAGCCAUUGAUAAGUGAAGAAAGCAAGGAAAGUAAAGAAAAUAUUCUUCAGCGAGAAAGUAAGGAAGAUAGCUUCCAGAAAGAAAAACAGUUGCAUCUUCAAGGAAAAAAUAAGGAAGAUAGCCCCCGGAAAGAAAAACAGUUGCCCAGCAAAAAUGAUGAAAAAUCUCAGCCGAUUCAGACGAAGACGGAUGUUAUCAUAAUUGAAAGUGAUGACGAUGAUGUAGAGCUUAUUUCAUUAACACAAAAAACGAAUCUUUCACCUGUUCACAUGAAGCAGCUUACACAAUUUGGCAGUUUAUGUCUUCCUAGCACAUCAACAUCGAAGAAGUUAAAUGCAACAGUGGGAUCUAAAAGCCAAAGUAUAGCGACAAUUGAUUUAUUAGAAAAGGAUUAUAUCCAUUUAUCAAAACCUAUUGCAUCAGAAAGAGAAACUUCGAAGAAAAACGAAUCUACCAUCUCCAAAGACCAAAUCGAUGUACUUACAUCACAAGAAUCUACAUUAGAUCUAAUUACUUCAAACGAUGUGAAAACGGACACGGAAAAAACAAGCGAAACGUCAUUUAUGAAUAUCAAAAUUACUAAUGUUGUUUCUCUGCCACCUGAAGUGUUCGAAAAUGUACCUGAUGUUAUAUGUGACAAUAUCACAUUACAUGCGAAUACCACUAAUACCUCGCCUCUUUCUAUAAAUGAAAAAUUGGAGCAACUCGUUACCUCUGUCUCGUCGAAGCGUAGCAUGCACGAAGCGAGUAACAUUAACAACUGCAAGAAGAUCAAAAGAAAUAAUUUCGACGAAAGAUUGUUUGAAACAUGUUCUCGAGUCGGAACUACAGUAUCUGAUAGAAAUGAGACAAAUAAUACUCAAAAUGAUGCAAAAAAUAGUACAAAUAAUAUAGAUAGGCAGCAAAGUGAAAGAACAUCUGCAAACAAGUUUAUUCCGUUGUUAAGUAAGAAUUCAGCAAAUAAUUUAUCUUCACAACACAAUUAUAUACAAAUUAAGGCAAAUGAUGUGCAACAUAUGAAUCAAAUUUUAUCAAAUUUGGAAGGAAACGCUGUACAUGUUAAUCUAAACCAGAGGAACGAAAAUCGUGUCACACAAGCAAAUACGACAGAAUUUGUAACUUUCACUAAGAAUAAUCCAGUUUUGUUACCAAUUGGUAGUUAUUAUCUUCAACAAAUACCUAACCCGAAUUUUACGGCCAUUGAUCAAAAUGAUAGAAGAAAUGAAACAAACUUGUAUGGUAUAUCAUCGAAUAGCGUAAUUCUACCGCGUGUGAAAGAUAAUAUCACUGUGCUUAAUAACUCAACAGUACUUAGCAAUCCUCUGCUCGUAAAUCAACCAGUAAUGACCAAUGUAACUGCGCCUAUUCUGAGCGACAAACGAAUAGUAACAGUAAAUCAACAAGAAGCUGCCUCAAGGAAAGAUGUACCUACUAGUACAUCUAGUAUUGAGGACAUUUCCACAAACAAGACGACACACAAGAAGAACUGUAUAUCUUGCGAUUCUAACAGUGUGACGGGGAUGCAGGCACCAGACCUGCUGAGACUGAAUCUACCAACAAUAAGAAAGCUGACCCAUCAAAUUAUUCCCACAGUGUCUUCGACAAACAAACCGUUGCCCGUCAAAGAUCUAGCGCAACCUGCAGUGUCUUCCCACAAAUCACUAACAACCAUACCACAUGUCAUCGACCUGGACUGAUACCGCGUUACGUGAAUCUACAGGACCUGAAAUUUCGAGUCUGCGCAUCGAACAAUAUUGAAAUGAUCUUAUACGAUACGUUCUCCGUAAAUAUUUCGAUGAAGAACCUCAAGGAAAGUAAGAGAUUGGCAGAUGUAGCUGCA